GACGAACGCUGGCGGCGUGCUUAACACAUGCAAGUCGAACGGAAAGGCCCUGCUUUUGUGGGGUGCUCGAGUGGCGAACGGGUGAGUAACACGUGAGUAACCUGCCCUUGACUUUGGGAUAACUUCAGGAAACUGGGGCUAAUACCGGAUAGGAGCUCCUGCUGCAUGGUGGGGGAUGGAAAGUUUCGGCGGUUGGGGAUGGACUCGCGGCUUAUCAGCUUGUUGGUGGGGUAGUGGCUUACCAAGGCUUUGACGGGUAGCCGGCCUGAGAGGGUGACCGGCCACAUUGGGACUGAGAUACGGCCCAGACUCCUACGGGAGGCAGCAGUGGGGAAUAUUGCACAAUGGGCGGAAGCCUGAUGCAGCAACGCCGCGUGCGGGAUGAAGGCCUUCGGGUUGUAAACCGCUUUCGCCUGUGACGAAGCGUGAGUGACGGUAAUGGGUAAAGAAGCACCGGCUAACUACGUG
RNAcentral lists this ribosomal RNA (468 nucleotides) under uncultured bacterium. RNAcentral's name for it is "partial 16S ribosomal RNA". It matches the Rfam family "Bacterial small subunit ribosomal RNA", at positions 28 to 507 of the family's 1533-position model. The record is from RNAcentral.